This 554-nucleotide ribosomal RNA is filed under the name uncultured Geobacteraceae bacterium. Its description in RNAcentral is "bacterial SSU rRNA". It matches the Rfam family "Bacterial small subunit ribosomal RNA", at positions 9 to 541 of the family's 1533-position model. The record is from RNAcentral. Lineage: Bacteria; Pseudomonadati; Thermodesulfobacteriota; Desulfuromonadia; Geobacterales; Geobacteraceae.
GAGUUUGAUCCUGGCUCAGAACGAACGCUGGCGGCGUGCUUAACACAUGCAAGUCGAACGUGAUUGAGAGCUUGCUCUCAUGAAAGUGGCGCACGGGUGAGUAACACGUGGAUAAUCUGCCUGGCGAUUCGGGAUAACACUUCGAAAGGGGUGCUAAUACCGGAUAAGCCCACGGUCUCUUCGGAGAGCGCGGGAAAAGGGGGCCUCUGUAUAUGCUCCUGUCGCUAGAUGAGUCCGCGGCCCAUUAGCUAGUUGGUAGGGUAAUGGCCUACCAAGGCUACGAUGGGUAGCUGGUCUGAGAGGAUGAUCAGCCACACUGGAACUGAGACACGGUCCAGACUCCUACGGGAGGCAGCAGUGGGGAAUUUUGCGCAAUGGGGGAAACCCUGACGCAGCAACGCCGCGUGAGUGAUGAAGGCUUUCGGGUCGUAAAGCUCUGUCAGAGGGGAAGAAAUGGGUCGUGCUAAUAUCGCGACUUCUUGACGGUACCCUCAAAGGAAGCACCGGCUAACUCCGUGCCAGCAGCCGCGGUAAUACAAGGGCGMCYYSWRMAR